AUUGAACGCUGGCGGCAUGCCUUACACAUGCAAGUCGAACGGCAGCACGGGGCAACCUGGUGGCGAGUGGCGAACGGGUGAGUAAUAUAUCGGAACAUACCCUAGAGUGGGGGAUAACGUAGCGAAAGUUACGCUAAUACCGCAUACGCACUAAGGUGGAAAGUGGGGGAUCGCAAGACCUCAUGCUCAUGGAGUGGCCGAUAUCUGAUUAGCUAGUUGGUGAGGUAAAGGCUCACCAAGGCGACGAUCAGUAGCUGGUCUGAGAGGACGACCAGCCACACUGGAACUGAGACACGGUCCAGACUCCUACGGGAGGCAGCAGUGGGGAAUUUUGGACAAUGGGGGCAACCCUGAUCCAGCAAUGCCGCGUGAGUGAAGAAGGCCUUCGGUUGUAAAGCUCUUUGUCAGGGAAGAAACGGUGUUUCCUAAUACGGAAUGCUAAUGACGGUACCUGAAGAAUAAGCACCGGCUAACUACGUGCCAGC
This 485-nucleotide ribosomal RNA is filed under the name uncultured bacterium. RNAcentral's name for it is "bacterial SSU rRNA". It matches the Rfam family "Bacterial small subunit ribosomal RNA", at positions 30 to 512 of the family's 1533-position model. The record is from RNAcentral.